Molecule: ribosomal RNA, 449 nt
Filed under: uncultured bacterium
Lineage: Bacteria
Description: partial 16S ribosomal RNA
Rfam family: Bacterial small subunit ribosomal RNA
Source: RNAcentral
AAUGAACGCUGGCGGCAGGCCUAACACAUGCAAGUCGAACGGAUCCUUCGGGAUUAGUGGCGGACGGGUGAGUAACGCGUGGGAACAUACCCUUUGGUACGGAAUAGCCUCGGGAAACUGGGAGUAAUACCGUAUGUGCUCGAAAGAGGAAAGAUUUAUCGCCUUUGGAUUGGCCCGCGUUGGAUUAGGUAGUUGGUGGGGUAAUGGCCUACCAAGUCGACGAUCCAUAGCUGGUUUGAGAGGAUGAUCAGCCACACUGGGACUGAGACACGGCCCAGACUCCUACGGGAGGCAGCAGUGGGGAAUCUUAGACAAUGGGGGAAACCCUGAUCUAGCCAUGCCGCGUGAUCGAUGAAGGCCUUAGGGUUGUAAAGAUCUUUCAGGUGGGAAGAUAAUGACUGUACCACCAGAAGAAGCCCCGGCUAACUCCGUGCCAGCAGCCGCCGCCG